Molecule: microRNA precursor, 119 nt
Filed under: Podarcis lilfordi (Lilford's wall lizard)
Lineage: Eukaryota; Metazoa; Chordata; Lepidosauria; Squamata; Lacertidae
Source: RNAcentral
UUUUAAAGUACACACACUCUCUCUUUAUCUCUCUCUCUCUCUCUCUCUCACACACACACACACACACACAGAGAGAGAGAGAGAGAGAGAGAGAGAGAGGAGUGGUAUAGAUGAAUAUG